GAGGUUGUGGCUCAGUGGUAUAGUGCUCGCCUAGCAUGUGUGCGGCCCUGGGUUCGAUCCUCAGCACCACA
This 71-nucleotide transfer RNA is filed under the name Marmota monax (woodchuck). RNAcentral's name for it is "tRNA.Ala". Lineage: Eukaryota; Metazoa; Chordata; Mammalia; Rodentia; Sciuridae. The record is from RNAcentral.